CCUUCGCGACGCCGACGCCCGCAUGAGACCGGACGGGCUCAAGACGGGCGCGACGGUCGUUCGUGUCGAUGGACAAAUGCGUUGCUCGGGCCGACGGAGCCAAAAGACCCCACGCCCGCGCAUGACGUUCCGCAUCCGAGAGCACGGGCAAUGCGCCCCGUGGGCCGAGGCAGCCGCGCAAGUGGGCGAGGCGUGCCGGGAACACGAGGCUUGCCUGACGUCCACCCCACAACCCGCGAGGGCAUGGGGCGGAAAGGGACCGACGAAACCGACGGAUUCCUUUCGAUAGGUAAGCAACACAGGAUACCGAA
This 311-nucleotide unclassified non-coding RNA is filed under the name Bursera occulta. Its description in RNAcentral is "partial miscellaneous RNA". Lineage: Eukaryota; Viridiplantae; Streptophyta; Magnoliopsida; Sapindales; Burseraceae. The record is from RNAcentral.